CAGAGACAUGCCUUUAUUUUACAAUAAUGUCACAGUGAACUUGACAUAUACCAAAUUAUCGUGAUGGCUAUAACUAGACAGUGACUUUGAUACCACUUUUAAUAACUGUAAAUAUACAUUUAUUUCAACAUAUACAAAUCUUUUAACAAAAUUAACUAACCUGUAAAUAUUGCUUAAGCAUUUAAGCGUCAGCAUUGUAAGGCGGCUAUUCAGUUAAUGAAAUACUAAAUCUCUAUAUAUAAAUAAGACGUACAUAUAUUUUCCCGCGCUCGUGCAAUAAUAUUUUAUUCUAUUUAAAUCAUUCAGGUGUGUAGUGAUGUGUAUAUGAAAUUGUGCAGUGACGUAUAUUAGAAAUGUCGUCAGUCUCAGUCAAUCGUCAUAAUGAGUAUGAUGAAACAGAAAAUGGAAUGAAUGAAUGAAUGAAUGAAUGAAUGAAAUAAAUGAACUGAUGAAUAACCAAUCAAACAUUUAAUAUACACAUAAACACGACGGUGACAAUAAGAUAACAUAAAUUAGAACCUACUCAUUUGUGAGUUGGACAUUAUUCACAUCUCAACCUGAAUAUGAAUUAAGAAAUAAUUGAAUAUCAAAUUUACAAUAAACUACAAUGAUGCACCCUUCUUCUGCAAUGUAAAUUAUAUAACAGUAAAUUUUCUGCCCGACUUUUUAUCCUUGUUACUAUAGUCUUUGACCAUUAUUUUACUAGGAGCGGAAGUCCAUAACAAGUAAAAUAUGUGUCACUCUGGCACUUACUAUCUUUGGAAAAAUUGUUCUAUUGCUUGUUUUUCUAGUAAUUUCAAUUAUAAUUAUAGUUAUUAAUAAAAUAAGCAUAUUUUGAAAGUUUCAUUUAUUUUUUCCAUAAAAAAAAAGGGUAUAUGGACAUUAUAAGCU
This 891-nucleotide long non-coding RNA is filed under the name Mytilus galloprovincialis (Mediterranean mussel). The record is from RNAcentral. Lineage: Eukaryota; Metazoa; Mollusca; Bivalvia; Mytilida; Mytilidae.